ACGAACGCUGGCGGCGUGCCUAAUCCAUGCCCGUUGAGCGAUGAAGAUUGGUGCUUGCACCAAUUUGAAGAGCAGCGAACGGGUGAGUAACGCGUGGGGAAUCUGCCUUUGAGCGGGGGACAACAUUUGGAAACGAAUGCUAAUACCGCAUAACAACUUUAAACAUAAGUUUUAAGUUUGAAAGAUGCAAUUGCAUCACUCAAAGAUGAUCCCGCGUUGUAUUAGCUAGUUGGUGAGGUAAAGGCUCACCAAGGCGAUGAUACAUAGCCGACCUGAGAGGGUGAUCGGCCACAUUGGGACUGAGACACGGCCCAAACUCCUACGGGAGGCAGCAGUAGGGAAUCUUCGGCAAUGGACGAAAGUCUGACCGAGCAACGCCGCGUGAGUGAAGAAGGUUUUCGGAUCGUAAAACUCUGUUGGUAGAGAAGAACGUUGGUGAGAGUGGAAAGCUCAUCAAGUGACGGUAACUACCCAGAAAGGGACGGCUAACUACGUG
This 496-nucleotide ribosomal RNA is filed under the name uncultured bacterium. RNAcentral's name for it is "partial 16S ribosomal RNA". It matches the Rfam family "Bacterial small subunit ribosomal RNA", at positions 29 to 507 of the family's 1533-position model. The record is from RNAcentral.